GCAUCUGUGCAUGCAGCAUAUCAAUAAGCGGAGGAAAAGUCAACUACCUACGCUUAGGAUGUUGAUGAGACUGUCGAUCUCAUCUAUACAUGACUCUGUGCAUAUCAAUAAGCGGAGGAAAAGAAACUAACAAGGAUUCCCCUAGUAACGGCGAGUGAAGCGGGAAGAGCUCAAAUUUGAAAUCUUAAAGGGUUUCCCUUUACGAAUUGUAGUUUAAAGAAGUGUUUUCUGUUGAGGUUUUGGUAAAAGUUCUUUGGAAUAGGACAUCAUAGAGGGUGAGAAUCCCGUAUUUGACCUUUACUUUCAACUUUGUGAUACACUUUCAAAGAGUCGGAUUGUUUGGGAAUGCAGUCCAAAAUGGGUGGUAAAUUUCAUCUAAAGCUAAAUAUUGGCGAGAGACCGAUAGCGAACAAGUACCGUGAGGGAAAGAUGAAAAGAACUUUGAAAAGAGAGUUAAACAGUACGUGAAAUUGUCAAAAGGGAAGCGUUUGACACCAGUGUUGUUUUUCUGAAAAUCAAUUAAAGAACUGUUUAUGCUAAGCUGUUUAGACUUUAUCAGCUAGCUGUUUAGUUUUGAGCUUUUCUUUAAUGCACUUUUCAGUUAACAAGUCAACAUCAAUUUCUUUUGCUGUAAAAAAGCUUGAGGAAGGUGGCUUGAGAUUCGUCUUAAGUGUUUAUAGCCUCUUGCCUAUGCAGUCGGAGAGAUUGAGGUCUGCAGCGUAGAUCCUUCGGGGCUAAAUGCAUUUGUGCUAUGUUAUAGCAUUUUAUAGACAACUUGUUGACUAUGAUUUGUCUUGUAGCUUACUCGCUUAUGUUAUUUUACCUACGCUUAGGAUGUUGAGUCAUCACACAUCUCU
This 857-nucleotide ribosomal RNA is filed under the name uncultured Neocallimastigales. RNAcentral describes it as "partial large subunit ribosomal RNA". It matches the Rfam family "Eukaryotic large subunit ribosomal RNA", at positions 1 to 614 of the family's 3401-position model. Lineage: Eukaryota; Fungi; Neocallimastigomycota; Neocallimastigomycetes; Neocallimastigales. The record is from RNAcentral.